Molecule: ribosomal RNA, 591 nt
Filed under: uncultured soil bacterium
Lineage: Bacteria
Description: bacterial SSU rRNA
Rfam family: Bacterial small subunit ribosomal RNA
Source: RNAcentral
GAGGAGCGGCGAACGGGUGAGUAACGCGUAGGAAUCUGCCUGAUAGUGGGGGACAACGUCUCGAAAGGGACGCUAAUACCGCAUACGCCCUACGGGGGAAAGGGGGGGAUCUUCGGACCUCUCGCUAUCAGAUGAGCCUGCGUCGGAUUAGCUAGUUGGUGAGGUAAAGGCUCACCAAGGCGACGAUCCGUAGCUGGUCUGAGAGGAUGAUCAGCCACACCGGAACUGAGACACGGUCCGGACUCCUACGGGAGGCAGCAGUGGGGAAUAUUGGACAAUGGGGGCAACCCUGAUCCAGCCAUGCCGCGUGUGUGAAGAAGGCCUUCGGGUUGUAAAGCACUUUAAGGGGGGAGGAAGGUUCGCUGGUGAAUAUCCAGCGGAAUUGACGUUACCCCCAGAAUAAGCACCGGCUAACUUCGUGCCAGCAGCCGCGGUAAUACGAGGGGUGCAAGCGUUAAUCGGAAUUACUGGGCGUAAAGCGCGCGUAGGCGGCUGAGUAAGUCGAUUGUGAAAGCCCCGGGCUCAACCUGGGAAUUGCAGUCGAGACUGUUCGGCUAGAGUGUGGGAGAGGGUGGUGGAAUUCCCGGUGUA